Molecule: non-coding RNA, 468 nt
Filed under: Drosophila sechellia
Lineage: Eukaryota; Metazoa; Arthropoda; Insecta; Diptera; Drosophilidae
Description: Eukaryotic small subunit ribosomal RNA
Rfam family: Eukaryotic small subunit ribosomal RNA
Source: Rfam by way of RNAcentral
AAGCCGACUAAUCAAGUCGGGACUCUCAACAUCCCCACGAAUAAGCUUACAAAUAAAGACUGUUCCAAGCAUAGUUCUACGGUUAGCUAGGGAUGGUAAAUUAAUUAAAAGUAGUCUACUGGAAUAAGGAGGUAAUAUAUGGUUUGCAUCCCAAUUUAGGCGCCGCAAGGCAAAAAGUAAGAACUUUUUUUGGACCGAUUCAUUGCGGUCCGAGUGGACUGCGUAUUGGGGACUCCAAACCGGUGAUCCGUACUUCGAGAAUCGGACGGACUAACGAAACAUGUUCGAACAUGUUCUGUUCGAAAGUUCUCCCUUUAAACAUUGCCUGUUCGAACAUGUGUGUAGCUACUAUUAUCGCUCUCUCAGUCUCUUCCCGGGAAACGAAAGCUUUUGAGCUCUGCGGGAAGUAUGGUUGCAGAGCUGACACUUAAAGGGAUUGACGGAAGGGCUCCAACCAGGAGUGGGAGC